This is an RNA transcript of Onychostoma macrolepis, 6505 nucleotides long. RefSeq lists it as uncharacterized. The transcript is spliced from 2 exons. The record is from RefSeq and is a predicted model, not a curated record. Lineage: Eukaryota; Metazoa; Chordata; Actinopteri; Cypriniformes; Cyprinidae.
ACAGCUUUGUUUACUACAACAGAGGGACUACAUCCCUGGGGCUGGGGUACGCAGCUCUUCCCUCGGCUCCCAGGGCCGGAUGGGUAAAUUAGCCACCGAUGUGACCCUAAACAAUGUCCUCUGGGUUGGGGAUCAAUUAGACAAGCCUGUGAAAUAAUGACACCCCUGGGAUGAUGUUCCUAGGGAGACCCCCUUUGGACCCCUGGCUGAGGUCUUCAGGAAUUGAUCUUUCCGAACACACCACAGGUACACAGCUUCAGCAGUAAUUACCACACUGCAGGAGCAGACGAGUACACAAACAAGGCACAGUUGUGGCCGACCAAACCGGAGACGCGAGUUGCUGCGUAUGACACCAACUGGCGAGGAGAAGAUAAGCAGGAGGAAAAUCAACCCUGAUGUAAUGAAGACUGACUGAACAGAUGUAAUGAAGACUGCUUGGAGGUUUGAGUGACGCCUCCAAACAUCUAUCCUGAGCCCUGAACAACUCCGAAAUCCCACUUAUCCAUGAAACGGACCGCUGUUGACAGUCAAACCGUGUGUGCACAUGUGCAAACUUUGCAUGCAAGCCUCCAAUUUCCACACCAGAGCACACAACCACAGCAUUUUUCAUGCUGACAAUGACACCACUGUCGAGACCAAAGCACCUGCUCAUAAUGAUGGGAAAUUGUAGGCUGCUUCAGAGUUCCUGCUGAGCACGAGGCCCACGGAGAACAACAGGAGUACAUGUGUUCAGCACCGGCACAAUGGCAGGUAGGAGCGCUCAAGCGAACUCAAAAUGGAGGAAAACAACAAACCGCUUUAGAGGAGGCCUUCUGAAUGCUCUGAAAAGCCCAUGACAUAGCUGUUCAGAACAAUGAUUCUCAAUUAGUUUUGCAUCAGAACUCAAAUUUAGCAUUGGUAUAUCAAGUGGCGACCCAACAUGAUUCCAAAUGUAACCUGUUCAUACAAAACAAAGGCAUCUACAGGCUUCUUUGAUGGCAUCUACAGUUCCACAAAGAACCUCCAUUGAACCUUUCCAUUUAUUUAUUUUUUUUAUUAUUAUUUUUUUUUUUAAAGAAAAGAGAUACGUUUCUUAAAAAAUGAAGGUUUUCAAGAAGAACUAGAACUGGAUUUUACAACAAUGAAACAGAAAAACCAUUUAUUUUCCCAAAGAACCUUUCAGGUUCUUUCUUAAAAUAACCUUUAUUUAUUUAUUUUUUCUUAGUGUAAGGAUCUUUAAAAAGAACAUUCUUCACUACAUAGAAUAUUUAGAUAUUAAAUAUUAAGAAGCACAUUUUGUUCUAUAAAAAUAAAGUUUCUUAAAAAAAAAAAAAAAAAGAAGAAGAAAAAAAGAAAAAGACCAAGAACUAUUUUCACUGUAUUUCACUGCAUUCUUGAGUUGGACAUAUGAUUCUUGGGAUAAAAAAAAAGUUUCAAUGCACAUAUAUUUUAUAAAAUAAAAUAAAAUAUAAUAUAAUAGAUAUAUUACAAUAAAAAAAAUAAAUGCAACAUGAAAGAGAAAAAAAAAUGUAAAAGUAGUUUACACUUAAACUUUGUAGAAUGUGUAAGGUUUUCUAUGACGUCUGAUUGCAAAUUCCUUUUUGGUCCUAAGUGCAGCCUUUAUUUUUAAGAGUUCACAAUAAUACAAUAAAUGCAAUGAAUUGCAUCAUGCUAUGUUUCUUAGAAGAGCGAUUUCUCUUAAUUGCAUCUUUCCAAGUAAGUAAUUUAUAGCUCAGCUGCUCUUGUAUCUACAUUGCAUCUCUUAUCGUUUCAUGUUCUCCGCCCAAAGGUCAACUGGGCAAAUAUUAAAACACAGUAUAAUCUUGUAUGUGUUUGGCCUUAACGAUGCGAUUUUAAAGCAUUGGAUGCGGUCCAAAGCAGCAUUAAAAAGGAAACGAAAUACACUCCGUGGCCCUCUCACCUACCGCACUCAGAGGCUGUAAUGGCCCGUUAAUGUCAUUUCGGACUGUCAGUAUAACCCAGCCCAGCUGAGUCAGUCCGCUUUCUUUGGCAGGGCACUGUGCUCGCUUUUGCAAGCAUACCCUUGGGGCCGUGCUACCUGAGAUCAUGCCCGACUUGCCUUGAGCCAUAUUUUUAAUACAAGGACGAAAUGUGUUAGCACAAAUCAUUGUAAUUAUGUUCACUGCGUAGUAUCGCAACGAUUAUAUAAGUUAUGUUGCCAUUAUUAUUCCCUAUAGUCUUUCUCUUCGCCCCUCUCUCGUCUCUUUCGCUGUUUUCAAGCCGGCCCAAAUGAAAAGCGCCUGAUGAGCACGUCCAUCGUCGUGAUAAUAAUAAUCAUACGCAAUUAGUGGGUAAUUUACAGACCGAUUGGUCUACAGAGGGAGCACUGUAGGUCGCUGGGAGCGGGGUUUGAUGAACCUGGAGUGGAACCAGAAUGCUCCAAUUUAAAUUUCAGCAGAGGAGUGGUCUCAAGAGGAGAGUCUCGCAUUUUCAUCCUAAAAUUUUAUCUCAGCGGUAUGUCUAUGCGAAUGAGCCUUACAAUCAAAUGACAAUCAUACUUUUUUUUUUUUUUCUCCGUCAAGAAAUAAAUAAUAAAUUCAAAUGUUAUUUUCUUCGACAGCAGGCCUGCUGCUAAAAAUAUGCACUGUCGUUUCAUGCUUCUGCAUGGCUGCUGGAACAACAGUAAGCCGCUGUCCAUGGUGCUGAAAUAUUCUCACUGAGGCACAACUAGUCAAAACUGGUCAAAAGUUUGGAAUAAUUAACAUUUUUUAAUGAAGAAGUGUCUUUUGCUCACCAACGAAUGCAUUGAUUUGAUCAAAAAUACAGUAAAAGCUGAAAUUCUCUGAUAUAUCAAUUUAAAAUAACUUGUUACUACUUGAACACAUUGUAAAAUGUAAUUUAUUUCUGUGAUGGCAAAACUGAAUUUUCAGUGUCACGUGGUCAUUCAGUCAUUCUAACAUGCUGAUUUGAUGCUCAAGAAACAUUUCUCAUUAUUUUCAAUGUUGAAACAGUUGUGCUCCUUCAUAUUUUGUGUAAACUGUGACACAUUACCAUUCAAAAGUACGGGGUAAGUAAGUUUUUUUUAAAGAAAAAUGUUAAAUAAAUGCCAUUCUUUUGAACUUUUUAUUCAUCAAAUGUAUGCUAGUUUCCACAAAAAUAUUAUACAAUAUAAACUUUUCAGCACUGAUGAUAAUAGAACCAUUAAUUGGGCACUGAUAAAAACUGAGCACUAAAUCAACAUUUACUACUGAAAAUGUAGCUUUGCCAUCACAGUAAUAAAUUAAAUAAAAAAAUACAUAUAUAUUUCAAUAGAAAAUGAUUUUAAAGUGUAAUAAUAUUUACUGUUGAUCUUUGGUAAUGUCAUGCCCCUGGACUGUUUUGUUGUGUUUUUGCUCCCCAUGUGUUCCAUGACCCAGUUUCUUCCCCGUCUAUAGUUAUUCCCGGCACCUGUGUUUUUCCAAAUAUCCUGUGUUUAAAAGCCCUAGUCUGUUCAGUUAGUGUUUGUCGGGUCUACUCAUGAUGUAUGUGUGUCAACUCCAGCCUAUCAUGACAGGUAAGCAUUGUGACUUAUUUCAAAAACAUUCAAAAAGUAAUUAUUUCAAACUUUUGGCCGAUAGUGUAUCAACUGACCCCUUCUAAAAUGGCUUUACUCGAAAGAGAUUGCUAUAAUAUUAUACUGAAAGUAACAAAAGCCUUUUUUGACACCCCUCACUCUUUGACAAUAGAGUGCACUGAAAUAACUUGUGCCCUUGGAACAUUACUUUGAAUCAAAUCCUGUUCCGGCGGUGUAAUUGUUGAGGAAGGCAAAUAAACGAGUGGCAAAUGAAAUUCUUGCAGGGCAGCUUGCACAAAUAGAUUGAUAAUGUGUGCCAGCCGCCGUAAAGUACGUUGAGGUUUUGAUAUUACCUGUUCUGCAUAUUAAUGUCUCUCCUAACCUGUCCUUCAUCCAGGACAAAGUUCUAAAUCUCAGAGAGCCUUGAGCCUCGGAGGCGGUUCAUCAUCUCAGUGUAAUUUAGGAGGACGAGCAGGAAAAGGGCAGAGGAACACAGAACUCCAAAAAACCUUUGACAGAGCGGCGCUAUGUAAAAGAUGCAGAGUUAGCUAAUUGGAAGCUAUAAAUGUGAGGAAGCAGAAAGAAAAUUAGUCAUGUGACUCCAGUCAAAUACAAACAACAGCCAAGCAAGCAUAUAACAGGUGAUAAUUAUCAGAUCCACUGAGACUAUGGUACAUGCCAGUCUGAGAAACUUAACAGAAAACCACUCUUGAAUUUCAUAAAUUUAACAGCUAUGUUGCAGAAAAGGAUCUGAUUUUACUGAUAAGAAAAAAGCUAUUUGGAUCAAUACCAAGGGACACAUAUAUGGAAUGAAUAAAAGCAUGGAUUGGUGGAGUUUUUCCUCUUUAAUUAUUGUUUACUCUAGAGGAGCUGCUUAUCGUGAGAGCGGUGAGAUUUUUUUGCAUCAGAGGGGAGCUGUUGGUUGUUAGUGCAGUAUUGAAAACAGAUUAGCGCUUUACCACUUGACACAGUUGGGCAUUUCUUUCAAACUUAAAUCCCCAGUCACAACUCUCAGCUGACUCUUGACUCCUCUACCCCAUUGUAGAAGAAAACACAGCCUUGAAACAACAUUAUCCCCAUUCAGAAGACAAGCUGAGCUCUCUUUGAGAAAAAGACCAAAAUGGCAGUGACCUAAGCUACAUCCCCGCAUCAGACAGCAGUGUUUGAAGGACUUCUGUUAAAGUGAUACUUCAAAAAAAAUCACGAUUAAUCGCAUCCAAAAUAAGUUUUUCUUUACAUAAUAUAUGUGUGUAUACUGUGUAUAUUUAUUAUGUACAGUAUAUAUAAAUACAAACAUAUGCAUGUAUACACCACAGGACUGAGCUGGAGGGAGGCUAUCAUCAACAAAGCUCGACCCAGAGCCCAGCCAAGCAUCACCUCGCUGCGUGGAACUGCCUGAGCCCACCGUAGACGGAGAGCCAGAGCCUACCGCGGUCAUUGAGCCAUCGCCAUUGCCAUCAGGAGCGACAGAGCUGAUGAUCGUCUUGGAGCCGGAGCCCCAAGUGUCUGAUCAGGUGUGAGAGCUGACAGCACAAGCGAUGGUGGAAAUAGUUGUGGAGAUCGCGGGGGCGAAGGAAAGCCCCGUCCACUGCACCACUGCUGAGGGUGAGUGUACCCUGGACUCUGAGGAUAUAAUAGACUUCGAUGUGGAUGUAUAGUGAUAUGCCCUGUCUUCUGCCAUGCUUUAAACCUCCUAUCUGCCCUGAACUAUCUGACUGUAUGAUAAGGACCAGGGAGGUCGUUUCCCUGUCCGCUGCGCUCUUACUAUUGGGAGUUGCGAUCUGCUGUGUGUGGACAGCACACAACAUCCCAGAAAGAGCUGAUGCUGACAAAUUCCCACCCGCCCUCCCUCUACUGCCUCCUCCUGUCAUUCCUGUGUCAGCUCCACCACUGUUGCAUCCUGUCAGUCCCUCUGCUCACCCUCAGCCCACCAUCUGUGCGGUGGGAUCGCCGCGGGUCUGCCAGUCUCCAUCGAUGUCGUGGCUGGAGGAUCCCUCGUCUGACUCCGCCUCGGCCAGUUGACACAGCGGCUCCAUCAUGGCUCCUAGCUCUCUCAUCUCCACCGUGGCUCCUCAGUCCACCUUCUUCGCUGGGCUCCCUCGUCCCUUGGUCAGUCAUCGAUCCAUCCGCCGCCUCAGGACUCCACUCCUCCGGCUGCACCUUGUCCCUCCGUCCCUUCAGCUCUGUCAGGCUCCUCCUUCCCUUUGGCUCCACCUUGGUCCUCUGUCACUCUGGCUCCACCGCGGCCUUCCGGAUCCCCGCCUCCACCUUGGUCGCCGGAGCCUACUGCUCCGCCUUGGACCUCCUAAUCCUCCCAUUUGCCCUGGCUCUGCGGCUCUCCAUCUCCACCUCGGGCUCCCCCACCACCUGCUCCGCCACGGUCAGUCAGCCCCCUGGAGUCGUCAGCCAUUCCUCUACCAUGGCUCCUCCCUCCGUCGGCUCCACUGUGGGCCGCCAUCCUGGCUGGGGUCUGGGUCCCUCCUGGCUUCUUCUGCUCCAAGUCCCUCCUGUUUCCACCAUGGCUCAUUCCUCCAUCGUCUCCUCCCUGGUUUUUUCUGUCUCCUAAACGGCUCCUCCCACUGUCAUCACUGCCCUGGUGUGUCCUGCCACGGUGCGAGGUUGCGCCUACCGGGGAGGGGGUGUACUGUCACAAUUAUGGACUUGAGUUUUGCCUUUUGUGUUUCCUUUUUCUGUUUGCCCUUAUUUGGUUUUGUUCCUGUCCUAGUUUAAUUCUUGUUAUCUUCUUAUCUUGUUUAGUUCAUUAUCAGUUUACCUCCUGCACCUGUGUUGCCCUCAUUAGUUGCCUCAUUUAAGCUCACUCCUUUGUUCAAUGCGCUGUCGGUUAUUGUUUGUUACUGCUGGCUUCGUGUGCCUUUCCUUGACCUGAGCGUGACAAUAAAAUAUAAGAAUAUAAAUAUAUAAAUGUAUAUACAUGUAAAUAUUUUCAAAAUACUAUACUGUAUGUGUGUGUGUAUUUAUUACAUAAUAAAUAUACACAAUACACACAUCUUA